RNAcentral lists this long non-coding RNA (7414 nucleotides) under Lupinus angustifolius (narrow-leaved blue lupine). RNAcentral describes it as "long non-coding RNA (LANG_LNC002052)". The record is from RNAcentral. Lineage: Eukaryota; Viridiplantae; Streptophyta; Magnoliopsida; Fabales; Fabaceae.
GUUCUGCUCUUGAUAAAAGUAUAAAACAGCAUCAGGUAUAAAGUAUGGGGAGAAGUGAACAUUGUAAUUAAUAAAGAGAAACCCAUGAGUAAGUGAAUUCAAUAUCAUUACACAAAAAACAGAAGACAUGAUCAUUUUGAUGGUCUAUACUAAUCAAUUGUACAAAAUUUGACCACUAAUUGAUGUUAGUCAUCUAGAGUGUGAGAUUUAUAGCCCAUUCAUUUUAUGUUGGAAAACAUCUUCGGUGCAAGGAAUUGUGAGACCGCCCAUUGGAUGAUCAUAUCCAAACUCUUGCUCGGCUUGACUCAGUAAGUCUUGGAAUGAAGGUUUGUUCAAGUAUGAUAUUGGGAUGACAAACCGCUUAUGCUUCUCUCCAACAUACACUGCAAGAUACCCCUUUGGCACUUCCACACAUUUUGAAGAUGCUUGGAUGGCACUGAAUGAUGCCCUUCGAAUAGCAGGUAAACGGAAACCCAUAUUUUUUGUUUGUUUGAAGGAAGAACAAAGCAAAGUUUUCAAAUCUGAGAAGAAAGUGUGUAAGUUUUAAUGCUUCAAGCUGCAAAUGUCUUAUGUUGGUUGUGAAGGCAAGAGGGUGUUUAUUUAUAGAUUUUAAGGGUCUUUAGAAACUCAAUUCAUAGAGAAAUAAUUGAUGAAGGGGUUAAAGGCUAGGGGCAUGCAUAAGAGAGUUCACAUGGUCUUGUCUAUAGAGGACUCUAUCAAGUACUAAUAACUUGUCUAAGAGUGCAUACCCCACCUUCUCAAAGGAAUGGCCAAAACUGCAACAACUAGCAAUAAAAUGAGUCAUACUCAAAUGAAACCUAAUGUUUGUUCAUGGUUCAUGCAUUCUUUAAUUUCUACUCUGUAUUUUUGUAAACAUACUUUAGACAUCUCACAUGUUUCUUCACAUUAUUAAUGCAUAUACAUCUACCAAUUAAUAUCAAGGUGACAGUAUCAAAUUUGUAAGCCUUGACCAGGACCUGAUUGAUAGCUCUCAAACAUAGUGUUUGGAGGCAAUAAGAGAAGCCAAAAUUGAAUACAUGAUAAUGAGCUACCAUAAACAUAUUUUUUAGGUGUACCAGAUUUCAAGCAACGCCCCGUGAAAUAUGACCAAUAUGAACCACAUCAUUUUGAUCCUGCUUGCAUAGUCUAUUUUAACUACUACACCAUUUUGAUCAUUCAGAUAUAAGGAAGUUUUCUGAGACAACACCAUGUGACCUCUUAUAUGCCCUUGUCUCCCAAUAGGUCCCAUGACUCCACCUAUAUAUAUUCAUGGCUUCAACCAGUUAAGAACAACACAUCCUAAAGCACUCAAAUUCAGAAACUUGUAUCUCACUUACUAGUCUUUUCUCAACAAACACAACAAUGGGUUUUCAUUUCCCACUUAUCAGAAGGGCAUCAUUUACUUCAAACCAAGCAUCUACAAAAGUUGCGAAUGUGCCGAAGGGCUACAUAGCAGUAUAUGUUGGAGAGAACACAAAGCGGUUCGUGAUCCCAAUAUCAUACUUGAACCAACGUUCAUUUCAAGAUUUACUUGGUCAAGCUGAGGAAGAAUUCGGGUAUGAACAUCAAAUGGGUGGCCUAACAAUUCCUUGUAGAGAAGAUGAGUUUUUGGAUAUUACUUCACAACUUCAAUAACUGCUAAUCCCAUGCAACAUAAAGCCUGAUUAGACUUACAUUACUUAGACACAAUUUUUGUAACAGAUUAAUAACUUGAAAAUAUUGUUCUUUGUCAUUAUCCUACCUACAUGGGUACAAUAUAUGAAAGAGAAAUUUAUCAGCAAUACCAUAUAUUAUUUUUUCGUUUUCCAUCAAAUCUCAGUCUAAAUUUUCUUUGCAUGGUCCUAAAAGAAGGAAAACAAAAAAUAAUCACUAAAUUAGUUUCAAUGAUCAUACUAUAUUGCAAAACCAGGAAAAAAGAUGCAAGUAACUAUUAUGAUUAAUAACGAUGAUUAUAUAUGACAAAAAGAUUAUGAUAGAACAACUUGGUAAAUGCUGCACCCAAAAAAAAACUUAGUGAUUUCUAUACUAAAAAUAAACGUGGUUAUUUGAUAAGUAUUUAGAGGAAGGUUUUUACCGUGCCUAAUUACCAUGAUCCACUUGACUGAAAUAUGGCAGAUAAAUGUGAGAUGUCUUGAGCAUGUCUGAAAAAUUACAAGAAGGCCAUCGGCUAACCAAUUGUUAUCUUAUCGGCUAUUAAGUCUCUUUCUCUACAGGUGGCAACUAAGUUAGCAUGAACUUUCAAAUCUCAAGUAAUCCUUGAUAAAGACCUUGAAGACAAUACCAUGUGAGCUCUUGUCUCAUUAGACCCCAUCAAUUAGCCCCUCAAGUCCUCAACCAUUCAUUUCAGUGGAGAAAUGUUUCCACAAAAACUAGGACUCAGUAUAUCUAUAUAUACACUCAUCUCAUCAUGGCAUUCUCAAGCAAACUAAGUCAGGUACAAUAAGAACUCAAAUAUUUAUUUCUUACACAAUCCCUGAAGUUCAUUGUAUUGUUCUUGUCGUGUAGCAACAUAUAACAAUGGGAUUUCGCAUACCUGGUAUUAGAAGGGCUUCAUUCCAAGCAGCUCCAAAGGCUGUGGAAGUCCCAAAAGGGUACCUUGCAGUCUACGUUGGAGAGAAAAUGAAGCGUUUUAUUAUUUCAAUUUCAUACUUGAGCCAACCUUCAUUUCAAGAAUUACUAAGCCAAGUUGAAGAAGAAUUUGGAUAUGAUCAUCCAAUGGGUGGUCUCACAAUUCCUUGCAACGAGGAUGCUUUCUUAGACCUUGUUUCUCGGUUAAAUAGGCUAUAAAUCAUACUGAAGGAAACUGACAUAGAUUAGUUGAGGCAAAUUGGAAUUGUACAGCAGAAAGUUUCAUUUUUUCUUUUCUUUUUGUCCAUCUUUUGUAACAGUAAAAUGCUUUGCUUUUAAAGCAGUUAUGAAUAGAGGAAAUAUAGUUCUUGAUCAAAUUUGAAUGCAGAUUAUGAGCUAAAUGGACAAAAUCUAGUAUUAUGUCAAAAUAUCAUUUUUUUAUUUCAUUUUAAGUCAUAGAUCCAACAUAAAUAUAUAGCAACUUGGAAUUCAUGCUGCGCAUGCUAUGCUGCAAUGAAGACUAUAGACAUAUAUAUUCAACAUCUCAAUUAUAUUGAAUUCAGGUUGAUUUCACAUUAUUUAACUCACUUGGAGACUAUAAACGAUCAGUAAUCUCAGCUUGAAGCGCAACGCAGGCAUAAGCUGCUCUCAGGAUGCAAUUAUUUUGACAAUAGAAUCUCGGAGAAGAGUGUUUCCUUCUUAUUUCCUUGCCUUUGGGAAUACAAUCUUUAAUCCUGUGGAAAAUUCAAUCACAAAUACAUUUUUUUAAAUUCCUUAUAUGAUUGAAAUUUACAGCAUGCGAGAUGAGUUUCCAUCCUAUCUAUUCAAUAUCUUAAUUCGUUCUUUUAUGUAGAUUUUCUUUUUAUCAGGCAUCGCCAUUGUGGAAGAUGGCAAGCGAAGAUUGAGAGUGUAGCAGGAAACAAAGAUCUUUACUUGAGAACUUUCAGAUAACCAAAUAGUCAUUCUCCAUGCACGUACUCCUAUAUUGGAAUCGAAUUCAAAUAAACCACUGAAUUGUAUGUAAUUAUUUGAAUUAUAGGUGCUGAGGAAGAGGUCUUAUGAUAUAGUUGUGAUAAAACUGAGGUAUUAAUGCAGCCACCAACUAUUUGGUGAGUUUGGUCAUCUUUUUGUAGUUCAUUAUUCCAAGUAAUUUGUAAUUGGGUUGUUUUUCUCCUUUGUAUCUGCCUUCACAACUUCAAGGCUAACACAUCGGAUCAAUCAAGAAGGUAAAACUGCAUGCGUUCCAUAAAAUUUAUUACUACCGAAGAUGACGUUCCAAGCUAGUUUAAUAGAGGUUCAUGAUUUCUAGUUCUAGUAGGUAAUUAUUUUACCAUGCAGACCAAAUCACCAAACAAUUAACACCAGUACAAGGUAUAGCUAAGUUCAUCUAAUAAUGGAAAUUCAUAUGAUUACAACUCUUCCUUUCCACAGUGUCUUUGAAACACUGGGAGAUACUAUUAUAAGAAAUGGUUAAUGAUCAUUUUAAGUUUACAUUUUUUUCAUUUCUUGACAUCCAAAAAGAGCUAAUAAUUUUCUUAAACACACUGUUGCUGGGAACUGGUAAAUGUAAUGCGCGUUAUAAAAUAUUCACAAAAACGCUUAUUAUCGACCAAACACAGUAUCAGCUACCUCGUGAAUGGAUGGGGAGGCUCUUCAGUGCCAAACUCAUUUUGAGCCACAAUAUUAUUUAACUUAUUAUUAAUGGAAUUAACAAACCAUUCUCUGAUUAUGAUAAAGUUGGACAGUGAUCAAGUUCAUGAUGCAUAUUGUCCUGUUCCCUCCUACCAAAAGUUCUAUGAUCUAUAAGUUAUCCACUUCCAUAUAAUUCAAAGGCACAUAUUAGUUACCAGGCUUAUAUCAGCAUUGAGACCUACCUUACCAAAAUGAACAAAAACAAGUGACAUUGUCUAAAUUAUAAAGCAUGUCUACACAAAUAAGGAGUAUUAUUGAAGAAUCAAUGAACAAACAUUAGGUUUCAAUCGAGCACGCGUAAUGUUACUGCAAGUGGCUGCUCCAAUUGCCAUUCCUUUGAAAAGGUGGGGUAUUCACUUUUGGACAACAUGUUAAUACUUGACAAGUUAACAGACAACACCAUGUGAUUUCUCAUCUGUAUGCUCCUCAUCCUUUUAACAAUGAUUUCUCUAGGAAUUGAGUUUCAAGAGACCCUUAAAAUGUAUAAAUAAACACCCUCUUGCCUUCACAAGGAACACAACGCACUUGCAUACUUAAGCAUCUCAAGUUAGGAACUUUCUUCUCACAUUUUAGAUCUUUACCUUGUUCUUCUUCCUGCAAACAAAUAAAAAAGAUGGGUUUCCGUUUACCUGCUAUUCUAAGGACAUCAUUCAACGCGAACCAAGAAAAUUCAAAAUGCAUAGAAGUCCAAAAGGGAUACCUUGCAGUAUAUGUUGGAGAGAAAUAUAAGCGGUUUGUGAUCCCAAUAUCAUACUUGAACCAACUUUCAUUCCAAAACUUGUUGAGCCAAGUUGAGCAAGAGUUUGGAUAUGAUCAUCCAAUGGGCGGUCUCACAAUUCCUUGCAGUGAAGAUGUCUUCCAAAAUAUAAUAUCUCGCUUCAGUGGAUUAUAAAUCUCAAAUUUUAGGUGACUAACAUAAGUAUAGACAUUUUGUACAAUUGGCAUCUUCUAAACUUGUAAACAGAUUACUAUUUGAAAUAACAAAUUCACAAACUGAGCAAUGGCAAUGUAUUCAGUUACUCAAGUAGCUUAUAUUUGUUUUCUGUUUUACUUGCAAAUUACCAUAGUCACUUCUCUCUAUAAUUAUGAACUUAUAAAGUAUGAUUAAGUCUUGUUGCUGUAAGAACAUUAUUUCAAAGCAGCAGCAGAAUAUGCGAUUUCUAGUCAGGGUAGAGCUAAAGUAUUUUUCCUUGAACCAAAGAGAAAGAUAAGUUUAUUGGGAUGAAGUUAAAAUAACUAAAACACAGAGCACACAGAAUUAAAUUUUGGGGGUGACAUGGCCCCGAUCAUACAUUAUCUAUAGUUCCGUAUCUCCAGAUUUUCACUUAUUUCUUUGUCGAUUUUUUAGCUAUGCCUCAAAUUUUCCAUAGUUAAUGAUCAGGGCUGUAUUUAUCAGACUUCAGUGCUAAGUACUUUGAAAAUCAGGACCAAGCCACUCUUUCUGUUGAAGCCUGCAGAAGAGCAUGCUGCAUGCAUUAUGGAUAUAAUUUCAUGCUUGAAGGAUUUAUCGAAUAGAAUGAAGAAGAAUUAUAUCAUCAAGUGAUGGUCUCACCAAAAUUCAGCUUUACCUUUAUGCCUUGGUUUCUAUUAAGACCUGCCAUUCUAAAUUGUUAUACUAAUUGGCAAUUGUUGCAUAAUACCUAUAAACAUGUUCAUUUUCAUUGGCAAUUUUGACACGCGAUUCAGUUUGGUAAGAAAGAUUCUAUAGGCUAAAGAUUCAGUAGGAGCAAAACGAAACAAUCAAUAUGAGAAUUAAGUUUGGGGGGUAAAUCAUAAUAAAACUCAUUUUCUCACCCCUUUGAUUGAAGUGUAAAUGAAGAAAGGGGUGUACCAAUAAUUUAUCCCACCUUACAACAAAGUCUCAGUCUCCAAUUUAAUAAUAUGUUCCAUUGUACCAAAGAAAGUUAAAAAACGGUGGGGGUCAUGAUGGAGACUACGAUCAGAAGGAAUUUCCGUGCUCUUCGCGAGGACUUGUGGUGCAAGUUGUUGUGACAAAACAAGCUUUAAAGGGUUGUGUUGAAUUGUAGAUUGUUACUUCAAAAUAAUAGAAAAUUUAAAUUUUGAACUUUGUUCAUUUUCUCAAUUGCUCUGACUAGAUGAUGAUACAGUUGAUAGUUCAAAUACAUGAUGAUAUUUACUGAGGUCUUAAAAGCACUUUGAAAAUGUUGUAGAGCCUAACAAGGUCUAAAUCCAUUAUUAGGUUUAUAAAUAUAUGAUUCUUAGAUUUCUUAAGUACUGAUGUAAUAAAUGUGGACCUAAAACAAUGCUUGAUAUUGCCCCAAAAAUAGUUCUUGAUUCUUUUCGGCCCUUCGAAAAAUACUUAGAUCUGCCUUGGCUGUGUGAAUCAUGUUUUCUGUUCUGCUUUGGGAUAUAUGAUAACAAUCUAGUCUCAUUUUUAUUAUGGCUAGUGGUUCUGCUCUUGAUAAAAGUAUAAAACAGCAUCAGGUAUAAAGUAUGGGGAGAAGUGAACAUUGUAAUUAAUAAAGAGAAACCCAUGAGUAAGUGAAUUCAAUAUCAUUACACAAAAAACAGAAGACAUGAUCAUUUUGAUGGUCUAUACUAAUCAAUUGUACAAAAUUUGACCACUAAUUGAUGUUAGUCAUCUAGAGUGUGAGAUUUAUAGCCCAUUCAUUUUAUGUUGGAAAACAUCUUCGGUGCAAGGAAUUGUGAGACCGCCCAUUGGAUGAUCAUAUCCAAACUCUUGCUCGGCUUGACUCAGUAAGUCUUGGAAUGAAGGUUUGUUCAAGUAUGAUAUUGGGAUGACAAACCGCUUAUGCUUCUCUCCAACAUACACUGCAAGAUACCCCUUUGGCACUUCCACACAUUUUGAAGAUGCUUGGAUGGCACUGAAUGAUGCCCUUCGAAUAGCAGGUAAACGGAAACCCAUAUUUUUUGUUUGUUUGAAGGAAGAACAAAGCAAAGUUUUCAAAUCUGAGAAGAAAGUGUGUAAGUUUUAAUGCUUCAAGCUGCAAAUGUCUUAUGUUGGUUGUGAAGGCAAGAGGGUGUUUAUUUAUAGAUUUUAAGGGUCUUUAGAAACUCAAUUCAUAGAGAAAUAAUUGAUGAAGGGGUUAAAGGCUAGGGGCAUGCAUAAGAGAGUUCACAUGGUCUUGUCUAUAGAGGACUCUAUCAAGUACUAAUAACUUGUCUAAGAGUG